This 440-nucleotide ribosomal RNA is filed under the name uncultured bacterium. RNAcentral describes it as "partial 16S ribosomal RNA". It matches the Rfam family "Bacterial small subunit ribosomal RNA", at positions 338 to 795 of the family's 1533-position model. The record is from RNAcentral.
CCUACGGGAGGCAGCAGUGGGGAAUAUUGCACAAUGGGGGAAACCCUGAUGCAGCGACGCCGCGUGAGUGAAGAAGUACCACGGUACGUAAAGCUCCAUCAGCAGGGAAGAAAAUGACGGUACCUGACUAAGAAGCACCGGCUAACUACGUGCCAGCAGCCGCGGGAAUACGUAGGGGGCAAGCGUUAUCCGGAUUUACUGGGUGUAAAGGGAGUGUAGAGGGGUGCACAAGUCUGGAGGUAAUUCCCGGGGCUUAACCCCGGAACUGCCUUUGAAACUGUGCGGCUGGAGUGCAAGAGGGGUAAGCGGAAUGCCCGGUGUAGCGGUGAAAUGCAUAGAUAUCAGGAAGAACUCCGAUUGCGAAGGCAGCAUACUGGACUGUAACUGACGUUGAGGCACGAAAGCGUGGGGAGCGAACAGGAUUAGAUACCCUAGUAGUC